UACAGAGGGUGCGAGCGUUAAUCGGAAUUACUGGGCGUAAAGCGCGCGUAGGCGGCUCUGCAAGUCGGGUGUGAAAUCCCCGGGCUCAACCUGGGAACUGCAUUCGAGACUGCAUUGCUUGAGUAUGGGAGAGGGAGGCGGAAUUUCAGGUGUAGCGGUGAAAUGCGUAGAUAUCUGAAGGAACAUCAGUGGCGAAAGCGGCCUCCUGGACCAAUACUGACGCUCAUGUGCGAAAGCGUGGGGAGCAAAC
This 250-nucleotide ribosomal RNA is filed under the name uncultured bacterium. Its description in RNAcentral is "partial 16S ribosomal RNA". It matches the Rfam family "Bacterial small subunit ribosomal RNA", at positions 524 to 773 of the family's 1533-position model. The record is from RNAcentral.